AAUGGAGAGUUUGAUCCUGGCUCAGGAUGAACGCUGGCGGCGUGCCUAAUACAUGCAAGUCGGACGCAAUGCUUCGGCAUUGAGUGGCGAACGGGUGAGUAAGACAUAAGCAACCUGCCCCUGUGAGGGGGAUAACUGCUGGAAACGGCAGCUAAGACCGCAUAGGCAUAGAGGACGCAUGUCGACUAUGUUAAAUAUCCCACGGGAUAGCACAGGGAUGGGCUUAUGACGCAUUAGCCAGCUGGUGAGGUAACGGCUCACCAGGGCGACGAUGCGUAGCCGGCCUGAGAGGGUGGACGGCCACACUGGGACUGAGACACGGCCCAGACUCCUACGGGAGGCAGCAGUAGGGAAUUUUCGGCAAUGGGCGAAAGCCUGACCGAGCAACGCCGCGUGAAGGAAGAAGUCAUUCGUGAUGUAAACUUCUGUUAUGAAGGAAGAACGGCAGAUGGAGGGAAUGCCAUGUGCGUGACGGUACUUCAUGAGGAAGCCACGGCUAACUACGUGCCAGCAGCCGCGGUAAUACGUAGGUGGCGAGCGUUAUCCGGAAUCAUUGGGCGUAAAGAGGGAGCAGGCGGCAGUGCAGGUCUGCGGUGAAAGACCGGAGCUAAACUUCGGUAAGCCGUGGAAACCGCACAGCUAGAGAGCAUCAGAGGAUCGCGGAAUUCCAUGUGUAGCGGUGAAAUGCGUAGAUAUAUGGAGGAACACCAGUGGCGAAGGCGGCGGUCUGGGGUGCAGCUGACGCUCAGUCCCGAAAGCGUGGGGAGCAAAUAGGAUUAGAUACCCUAGUAGUCCACGCCGUAAACGAUGAGUGCUAAGUGUUGGGGGUCAGACCUCAGUGCUGGAGUUAACGCAAUAAGCACUCCGCCUGAGUAGUACGUUCGCAAGAAUGAAACUCAAAGGAAUUGACGGGGGCCCGCACAAGCGGUGGAGCAUGUGGUUUAAUUCGAAGCAACGCGAAGAACCUUACCAGGUCUUGACAUGGAGAUAAAGGCCCUGGAGACAGGGAGAUAGAUAUAUCUCACACAGGUGGUGCAUGGUUGUCGUCAGCUCGUGUCGUGAGAUGUUGGGUUAAGUCCCGCAACGAGCGCAACCCCUGUUGCCAGUUGCCAGCAUUAGGUUGGGGACUCUGGCGAGACUGCCUCUGCAAGGAGGAGGAAGGCGGGGAUGACGUCAAAUCAUCAUGCCCCUUAUGACCUGGGCUACACACGUGCUACAAUGGACGGAUCAGAGGGAGGCGAAGCCGCGAGGUGGAGCGAAACCCAGAAACCCGUUCACAGUUCGGACUGCAGUCUGCAACUCGACUGCACGAAGCUGGAAUCGCUAGUAAUCGCGAAUCAGCAUGUCGCGGUGAAUACGUUCUCGGGCCUUGUACACACCGCCCGUCACACCAUGAGAGUUGGUAACACCCGAAGCCGGUGGCCCAACCGCAAGGAGGGAGCUGUCUAAGGUGGGACUGAUGAUUGGGGUGAAGUCGUAACAAGGUAUCCCUACGGGAACGUGGGGAUGGAUCACCUCCUUUCUAGGGAGA
This 1531-nucleotide ribosomal RNA is filed under the name Massiliimicrobium timonense. RNAcentral describes it as "bacterial SSU rRNA". It matches the Rfam family "Bacterial small subunit ribosomal RNA". The record is from RNAcentral. Lineage: Bacteria; Bacillati; Bacillota; Erysipelotrichia; Erysipelotrichales; Erysipelotrichaceae.